GGGGAGGGUGCUUGAGCACGUUGUCUUCAGCUCCUCAAAAGAUUUAAGUGUAUUAUAUGAUUUGUGCAAAACUUCAAGCAAGUGAUUAUUAGAACCUCUUUUCGUUACAAGCAGCCAACGAGUACUUCCCGUGUCCUCCAUCUUCGAGCCUCGACCCCCGCUUUGCACACGGACCUCUUGACGCCUCUCUCAGCCCCAAGGACCUACCGCUUGUCUCACAGACUUUUUUCUGCUUUGUCCAUCCUCUCGCCCAACACAUCACGGUAUAUGCCUUUGGAGGUGGGAGGAAGCCGGUGUCACCCAGAGGGAACCCACACAGUCACGGGGAGAAAAUGCAAACUCCACACAGAAAGAUCCCGAGCCCGGGAUCGAACCCAGGACCUUCGUAUUGUGAGGCACACAC
Molecule: long non-coding RNA, 403 nt
Organism: Nerophis lumbriciformis (worm pipefish)
Lineage: Eukaryota; Metazoa; Chordata; Actinopteri; Syngnathiformes; Syngnathidae
Source: RefSeq, a predicted model, not a curated record